Molecule: ribosomal RNA, 492 nt
Filed under: uncultured bacterium
Lineage: Bacteria
Description: partial 16S ribosomal RNA
Rfam family: Bacterial small subunit ribosomal RNA
Source: RNAcentral
AGUGAACGCUGGCGGUAGGCCUAACACAUGCAAGUCGAACGGCAGCACAGUAAGAGCUUGCUCUUACGGGUGGCGAGUGGCGGACGGGUGAGGAAUACAUCGGAAUCUACUUUUUCGUGGGGGAUAACGUAGGGAAACUUACGCUAAUACCGCAUACGACCUACGGGUGAAAGCAGGGGAUCUUCGGACCUUGCGCGAUUGAAUGAGCCGAUGUCGGAUUAGCUAGUUGGCGGGGUAAAGGCCCACCAAGGCGACGAUCCGUAGCUGGUCUGAGAGGGUGAUCAGACACACUGGAACUGAGACACGGUCCAGACUCCUACGGGAGGCAGCAGUGGGGAAUAUUGGACAAUGGGCGCAAGCCUGAUCCAGCCAUACCGCGUGGGUGAAGAAGGCCUUCGGGUUGUAAAGCUCUUUUGUUGGGAAAGAAAAGCAGCAGGUUAAUACCCCGCUGUUCUGACGGUACCCAAAGAAUAAGCACCGGCUAACUUCGUG